AUAAUUCUUUCGGUAAUAAACGUCCAUCAGCUGAUUCUAAACGUAAGCAAAAGACAAAACUAGAUUUUUAUUGCUGUAUUUUGCUGUUUAUACAUUAAUAUUAUAGUUGGGUGCUGUAAUCUUUACAGUAAAUCAUGUUUUUUUAUCAUAAAUAUGUUCAUUCACAAAAUAGGUAUACUAUGUACUUUUAGUUUGAUGCAGCAGCCAAAUCAUGAAAAUGGAAAGGAAUUGUUAGGUAAUAUACUUUUGUUUGCUGAUCUGAUGAAGGGGAAAUUGAAGAUAGGAAAGAAUAACUUUGAAACUGUCUUGAAUUUAGUUUAAGGUGAUAGUUGAAGACAUAUUUGGUGCUUGAACUAAAGUAGGCAGUUAUAAACAUUGAAAUAGUGGUCUUGGGUGGGUUAAUUAUUAAAGUAGGCAGUUUAAAGCAAUUUUUAGGGGGGUAUCAGGAUAACACGGGUAUUUACUUAUCACGGGGGGUUCUGGGCCCUAUCCCCCGUGAUUAUCGAGGCCCUACUGUACCUAUCUGCAGUUCUUUCUUGCCAGGUAAGGAAACAACAAGCAUUGUCUCAAUGCUGGGAACUGUUCUGUAUCAAAUUCAUUACCUCCUUUCAAUGUAGAAUCAGCUAUGUAAUUACCUGGUAAGUUACUUAUACAAAAAUGACAUUUUUAUGGUAAAAUAAAGUUUUAUAUAUACUGCUUAAAGUAUUUAAUUACAUCAGGGCCCUCCCUCCUUGCCUCACAUGGACAUAACGGCGCAAAUGAAUCGGAGCUCUCUGCCUAGUUAUUCCUCACAGCCCCUAAAAGUGGGCUGAGCAUGUUACCUACACCUACACAAAUGCUAAUGCUACCACGAAUUUUGAAUUUUUAGGCUUCCGCACAUAGGAAGUUCUUAGCUAUGUAGUAAUUACUAGGUAAGUAUAUAUAAAACCUUAUUUUAUCAUAAAAAUGUCAUUUUUGUGUGUUUUGGUUUUACAUUCUUGUUUUAAUAAUUAGGUAUCACUUAAGUAAAUAGUAAAACACUGGUAUAUAUAUGAAACAAAAUAUGGGAUAACAGUGUAAAAUAUGAAACAGAAUCAUAAGGACAAAAAGCUAGCAAAGAAGAACAGAGCAACAUGAAGAUAGGAAGUGGUUAAUAAAUAAAUUGUCAUUUUAUUGCCUUAUAUUUUUUUAAAUCUGUUAAUGAAUGUACCUUGUUUAUAGUAUUCAUCAGGGUUAAGUGUUAGAUUACUGGGGUAUUUGGGCUUAAAAGCAAAAUUUAUUAGGAAAACUUUCCAUGAAGUGGGAGCAGUUAGGUUCAGAAAUAGUAGAACUGGAAGCGGAAGAACAGAGGCUAGUGUGCCUGGGCAGAAAAUCAGAAAGAUCUGGACUACGUGAACAUUUAGGCAUAAAAUACAAAAGGUAGAAGAAUGGAGAUCUGAUUCAAGUUUCCAUAUUUAACCUGUACAAGGUUAAAUAUGGAAAUUUGCAUUUUCUGUUUCUGCCCAGGAUCUUUAGGGUUUUUAUCUGUAGUAUAUACUACUGGGGUGUGGGAUAAUAAGAUGGAAACUUUAAAGUCAGAUCAGACCAGAGGUACAGUAAAGAACAGGCAAAAGCACUCAAGUCUAGAUAGAAAAGAUAAGAGGAAAAAUUUGGACAAACAGGCCAAUGAUGUUGAAAAAGUAGCACCGUAUUUGCCGGCGUAUCAGACACACUUUUUAUAUUGAUAAAUGUUUAAAAAAACUGCCCUGCAUCCAAUGCGGCCAGGCCAUAUUACAGAUGGGAGACCGAAUGCUGUAGGCUAUGUUAGGCCUUUCUUACAGCAAGCACACGGGGUAGGUACAAAAAUUGAUGCUAAUAAGAAAACAUUUAAAAACAAGUUUAAAUAUUACAGUGAAUUGUGUUACUAAUAAUAGAAUAUUGAAAUCAAGCUGAAUUAUCAGCCUAUUAUCACAAAUUUACAAAAAAUUGCUUACGAUACGUCGGCACUAGCCUGUCAGAGCGCCUCAGUGGCGUGGUUGGUAUGGUGUUUGCGUCCCAGCUCGGUGGUUGCGGGUUCGAUUUUUGGCCAUUACAUUGAGGAGUGAGAGAUGUGUAUUUCUGGUGAUAGAAGUUAACUCUCGACGUGGUUCGGAAGUCAUGUAAAGCUGUUGGUCCCGUUGCUGAAUAACCACCGGUUCCAUGCAACAUAGACACACCAUACAAAGAAAACUAGCCUGUCAGCCAUUUGCAAUGAAUGGAUGUAAAGAAAACCAUAAAGCUGCCUAUUGUUUAUUUAUGAUAAAUUUCAUAGCGUUCAUAUUUAACUCCAGUAUACUCUCACAAUAUUGCAUUUAAUGCACAGAAUCAUACAUUUUUCUGAACAAAAUAAUUUUAAAAUAUUUUCAAAUUAAUAAAUGAUGAAACAUUAAAAUUGUUUCUAUCCACAAAAUAUCCUUUGAAAUAGGAGUGCAUCUUACACGCCAGCAAAUAUAGUAUGUUCAGGGGAGAGGCAUAGGUGUUGGAGUAACCCACAGAAUUUUCAAUAACAUUUGCCUGGAUGAACUUUAAACAGAAGACAGUGCUGUUCUAAUAAUUUUUGUGAGUUCAUGGAUUUGAUAUGGAUAAUUAAAUUGUCAUACUAGAAGCUGAAGGGCGUCUUAAUGUACUCCUAAAAGAAUUCUUAGUUUUUGAAGUGGAAUCAGUAGUAAAGACACUGAGGAGAAGGAAAACACCAGGUUAUGGGGUAACAUUACAGAUUAACAAGCUGGAUUUAGAAAAGGGAGGUGUUAUGCUGUUUAAAUAUUUAUGACAUUGUGCAACAGUGUGUAAAAUUAUAAGUCGUCCUGGUUGAUUUUGUUAUUAUAGGAAGACAUUGGAGAGCCCCUAGGCAUACUUUAUGGAAGGUCUUGUGUCACUGGGCAUACCUGGUAAAUAUGUAAAGUUGAUAGAAACAAACAAAUUAGAUACAAAGUUAAUUUUAAAGGGUCUUGUCAAGUGAACUUGUAGUGAAUUUACAGUGAAUAGUGAAUAAUGCUACAAGGGAAAGUUAUUUCACCUUUGCUGUUUUAACAUCUCAGAUUUUGUAAUGAAAAAGUGGUCAGAGAUGGAGGAAAUUCAGAUUGAAGUAGUAAUAUAAAGCUGACACUUAUAGUGGUCAGAUGAUACGGUUUUAAUCAAAACACCACAAGGGUUGCACAGUUUGCUUGAUAGAAUUAAUCAUAUACAUAGGGUAAUGGGACUGAAAAUAAAUCUUAAGAAAAAUGGAAGUAAUAGAUGGUGUGCUCAAAAGGAUGAAAUAACAUUUGAUGGGAAAAGAUUUAUUGAAAUAGAAUCUUGAAAACAUUGAGGAACAAGGUAUCUAGUAUAAGUCCUCUUUUGUAAGAAUUUAGUGAAAGACAUAAAAAAGGCAAAUCAGACAAUGGGAAGGCUGAAUAAGCUCUGGGAAUCAAAUAAACAAAUUCCAUAGUUGAUUAUGACAUCAGCAAAAACUGCAUUUUUAGAACAUAAACAAGUCCUCUUCUCUCUUUUCCACUCUUCCUCUGAUUUGGGUUAUCUGCUGUCUGCAGCUUCCAGAGGUUUAGUUCUCUGUGCUGUUAUUAUGGUGAUAAGUAAGGCCCUAGGCUCUGUCAAGUAAAAUCUUGAUAUUUUGCUAUUCUUUGUAUAUUGCAUAAAUUUAAAGAGGGGUGCUGUAAAUGCAGUUGUAUUCAAGUGGUUACAUCCAUGAAAAACUUUCCAAUCAUCUAUUGUAAAACUGUCAUUAAUGCUACUGUCCCAUGUGGUUAAAAUGUUGCACAUCUUUUGUGAGCAAGAAAUAAAAAAUAUAACUAGAACAGUCUGGUGGUCUGGAGUUCAAGCCCCAUUUGAGGCUUGAUGAUUUUCAUUGGCAGCACUGCCCUACUGCCUAGUGAGCUAGGAUUAGGGAUUUUGGGGAGACCACAGAGCUACUUACUGUGUUAUCAACAGCUACUACUGCUGGUUCUCGCUGGUCUUUGCUUGGGUGGAGAAGGAUCCUAGGACACUGAUCAUUUGUGUGUGUGUGUGUGUUUGUGUUUAUAUUGGUUUUUAAGAUAUUGUGAGACAAUGUAAUGACAUGUUACUUCCUCUGCUACUUAUGAACAACCUUCAAGACCUUAUAACUGAAUUUCAUUUUCUGACACUUCAGGGCUUGUGCAAGAUUUAAGAUUUAUGAAAAUUUAGUAAAUGUGAAGUUCAAGUUGAACAGGUGGGAAGAUACUAAGGGGAAUAGAUAGUUCCGUCUGCAUUGUGUUUAUGGAGUGCAAUAAGUUGAGGAAAGGAAAACUGCUUUUAAAUUUUGGUAGUAGUAUCAGAAUUCAAUUGACUAAAUAUUGAUGUUGGUUUUGGGAACUUUUAUUGUAAAAAUUGCACCAGAUAAGCUUAUACAGGUUAAUUUUUGUUUGCAGCUCCUCCAACAGUGCCCUCAAUUCCUGGUAUGCCAGUGACAACACCUAUCAAUCUACCUGGAAUGCCUCCUAUCACAGUAAGUGCCACUCUACCUCCUGAAUCAUUCCAAGGGAUAGCCACCAACCCCCAGCCAACAUCACAACCACAGCCAGUUCAGUAGCAGUCACAGAAUUAAUUGGGUAUUUGUUGGAUCUUAUGGAUUUAAGUUUUACAAAAAUUACAGCAGUAGUUAUAAGGUGACUGAGUAUUUAUGAGCAGAUGGCUUUAAAAUAUAUUGUAUUAUAUAGUAAUGUUAUUUGAGUACUAUAUCAUUCUGGAAAUUUUAGGAUUUAACACAGCAGCUAGUAGACUACUAAUGAUUGACAUAACUAUUGUUUAUAGUUGGAAAUUUUGUAUUACACUUUGUUGCUAGCUUUGUUUGGUUAUAAAUUUGGUUGCAUAUUCUAUGUCUUUAUGUACUGUUAAUAUCUCCUAAACAAUUAAAAAAUUUGAAAUUAA
Molecule: long non-coding RNA, 4878 nt
Organism: Macrobrachium nipponense
Lineage: Eukaryota; Metazoa; Arthropoda; Malacostraca; Decapoda; Palaemonidae
Exons: 2
Source: RefSeq, a predicted model, not a curated record